This 408-nucleotide long non-coding RNA is filed under the name Nicotiana benthamiana. Its description in RNAcentral is "long non-coding RNA (NBEN_LNC033678)". The record is from RNAcentral. Lineage: Eukaryota; Viridiplantae; Streptophyta; Magnoliopsida; Solanales; Solanaceae.
GACAAUAGAGAUGAGCAAACAUGUCAUUGAAAGAGGCUCAAAAGUAUCUUCCAAAGACUUAUGAUACACAAACACACACGAUAGAAAGAAACUGAUUCAAGGUCAUGAGACCAUUUUGGAGAAAAACUCGAAGUUAAACAAGUUCAGAAGAAAGAGAUGAUACGAGUUUUACACAAAAGUAGAGAAAACAUGCUUAGCAGGAACACGAACAGAGUUCAAUAAAGUGAACAAAAUCAAAGAAUUCAACCAUAAACACAUAUAGCAAAGAAUAAGGAAAACAACACGAAUUAACAUGGGGAUACAUGAAUAACAACAAAAUAGAAGAAUUUUGCAUAAUAGAAAAGAAACAAGAGAGCAAACUCAAGCACAGUAGAAAAGAAAGCAUAUGAGCAUAACAUAGGUAAACAC